CUCGACUUAAUAUUUAUGAGGAGAUUUAUUUGGGUCUCAAAAAAUAUUUUAUUUCUUUACAUCUAAUGCAAAUAAAAUAAAAAAUCAAUCCGCACAAACAAAUAUAAUUAAACUGGUGAUGAUCAUGGAUCUUAGAAGUGGAUUCGGACUCGAGCCACUGAGUCGGAAUCGGGGUCUUAGGGUCAUAAAUUACAAGCACACACACGUCAUUGGUUUGAUUGUUUUCAACUUCUUGAUCCGAUCUGGAGCUUCAACUUGAUCCGAUCCUUAUCAACACCUUGAUCUGACCGUCAUCAAGUAUUCGUCUCUAUCCGGACCUUGCGAACUUUUGGGCUUGCAACCGAUCAACCAAUGACGUGCAAUCAUACAUUAUGCAACCCAAUAAUAAAAAUAAAAUAAAAAUUAAUUACAAUUGAUAACUUUUAUCUCUAAUCUAUUGAGACACGCAGGUCUCCAAAUAAAUCGGCUUGUGCAUGCAAGCACAAAUAUAGCCAUCUCUAAUACAAAAUCCUUAAUUUAAACAAAUUUAAAAUUACAGGAUUCGGCAUACACAUCAUACAUCACAUGUCAAAAUAUAAAUAGGUCGCUAUCCAUGAUCAUCACCGUAUCUCAUACAUCACAUGCAUAAUAAUAAAUUUUGGAUAUUCUAAUUAACCGUUAACCGAUGAUUCGAAAGAAUAAAUUAUUAAAAAUAAUCAAUCUUAUGAAUUAUAAUAAUUUUGAUCAACAAUUUAAUCUACAAAAAUAACAUCUUGAUCUCAUCAAGAAAUCAAUUUGAUCUAAUCAAAUUAGAUUCACCCUUUUCUUUUAUUUUAAAAACGAU
This 823-nucleotide long non-coding RNA is filed under the name Ananas comosus (pineapple). RNAcentral describes it as "long non-coding RNA (ACOM_LNC029029)". Lineage: Eukaryota; Viridiplantae; Streptophyta; Magnoliopsida; Poales; Bromeliaceae. The record is from RNAcentral.